This 440-nucleotide ribosomal RNA is filed under the name uncultured bacterium. RNAcentral's name for it is "partial 16S ribosomal RNA". It matches the Rfam family "Bacterial small subunit ribosomal RNA", at positions 338 to 795 of the family's 1533-position model. The record is from RNAcentral.
CCUACGGGUGGCAGCAGUGGGGAAUAUUGCACAAUGGGGGGAACCCUGAUGCAGCGACGCCGCGUGGGCGAUGAAGUUCUUCGGCAUGUAAAGCCCUAUCAGCAGGGAAGAAAAUGACGGUACCUGACUAAUAAGCACCCGCUAAAUACGUGCCAGCAGCCGCGGUAAUACUUAGGGGGCAAGCGUUAUCCGGAUUUACUGGGUGUAAAGGGAGCGUAGGCGGCCUGGCAAGCCUGAUGUGAAAUACCGGGGCUCAACCCCGGAGCUGCAUUGGAAACUGUCAGGCUGGAGUGCCGGAGAGGUAAGCGGAAUUCCUAGUGUAGCGGUGAAAUGCGUAGAUAUUAGGAGGAACACCAGUGGCGAAGGCGGCUUGCUGGACUGUGACUGACGCUGAGGCUCGAAAGCGUGGGGAGCAAACAGGAUUAGAUACCCGGGUAGUC